RNAcentral lists this ribosomal RNA (509 nucleotides) under Colletotrichum gloeosporioides. RNAcentral describes it as "eukaryotic LSU rRNA". The stretch from base 186 to 339 matches the Rfam family "5.8S ribosomal RNA". The record is from RNAcentral. Lineage: Eukaryota; Fungi; Ascomycota; Sordariomycetes; Glomerellales; Glomerellaceae.
AGGGAUCAUUACUGAGUUUACGCUGACUAUAACCCUUUGUGAACAUACCUAUAACUGUUGCUUCGGCGGGUAGGGUCUCCGCGACCCUCCCGGCCUCCCGCCUCCGGGCGGGUCGGCGCCCGCCGGAGGAUAACCAAACUCUGAUUUAACGACGUUUCUUCUGAGUGGUACAAGCAAAUAAUCAAAACUUUUAACAACGGAUCUCUUGGUUCUGGCAUCGAUGAAGAACGCAGCGAAAUGCGAUAAGUAAUGUGAAUUGCAGAAUUCAGUGAAUCAUCGAAUCUUUGAACGCACAUUGCGCCCGCCAGCAUUCUGGCGGGCAUGCCUGUUCGAGCGUCAUUUCAACCCUCAAGCUCUGCUUGGUGUUGGGGCCCUACAGCUGAUGUAGGCCCUCAAAGGUAGUGGCGGACCCUCCCGGAGCCUCCUUUGCGUAGUAACUUUACGUCUCGCACUGGGAUCCGGAGGGACUCUUGCCGUAAAACCCCCCAAUUUCCAAAGGUGACCUCGGA